RNAcentral lists this long non-coding RNA (3707 nucleotides) under Homo sapiens (human). RNAcentral describes it as "HSALNT0292028". Lineage: Eukaryota; Metazoa; Chordata; Mammalia; Primates; Hominidae. The record is from RNAcentral.
UUGAAAGGCAUAAUGGAAAAUAUCAGAAUAUUUUAUGUUAAAAUCAACAAUACAGCACACAUAACUUGAUGGAACCAUUUGAGAUCCUGAAAAUAAAAAUACCUUUAAAGUACUUCAAAAAAGAAAAUAUGCUUAUAAACUUUAAAUAGAAAAACUAUAUUAUAAAAAACAGCAGAGAAUAUUUCUGCAAGAUAUUAAAUUAAUUAUAUAAAUACUACAUUUUUAAAAGAGUUCUGUAAUUGGCCCAUGAGAAGAGAGUUCAAUGGGGCAGAGUUUGGAAAUGCAAAUCCUUAGGGGAAUUUGGUUUAUGACAAAAAUAACAUCUCGGAUAUCUGAAGAAAGAUGGAUUACUUAAUAAAUAAAAAAACAACUAGGUAUUUUUUGAAAAAAUAAUGUCAGAUUUUAAUCUCAAUUAUUAUAUAAGAAAUCAUUUUGCAUGGGUUAGUUUCAAAAUUUAAAAUAAAUGAAAGAGUCAUUGUUAUAAUCUUGAAAUGUGGUCUGGAAAACUCUUACUAAGAAAACGUAGGACUUGGACACUGUGAAAAGAAGAAACUGUUGAAUUGUACAACAUAAAAAUAAGUCACUAAAUUGAAUUUCAAACUGGUCAAGAAUGUAUAGAAAAGGUAUAACAGAUCAAACACUAAUUCAUUAUAUUCAAAUUUUGGUUCAUUAAAAUUAAAAAUGUCUGCUCUGCAAAAGCUUUUGUUAAGAGAAAAAAAAGACAAGCCACAGACUAAAAAAAAAUUGCAAAAGAUAGCUGAUGAAGGAUUCUAUGCAGAAUAUACAAAUUAACAGUGUAAAAACAAACCGCACAAUUAAAAAUAGACAAAAUAUCUGAACAGAUACUUUAUUAAAGAAGAUAGAUGACAAAUAAAGAUGUUAAAAUGCUCAAAAUCAUAUAUCAUUUAGGAAUUGCAAAUUCAAACAAUGAGAUACUACCCUAAACCUAUUAUAAGUAUGGCUGAAAUCAAAAAUACAAACAAGGACGUGAAGAACAGGAACUCUCAUUCAUUGCUGGUGGGAGUGCAAAAUGGUAUAGGAACUUUGGAAGACAGUUUGACAUUCUUGCAAAGCUGAAUAUAAGCUUACUAUAUAAUCUAGAAAUUGUGCUUCUAAGUAUAACCCAAAUUAGUUGAAAACUUGAUACAAAUGCUUAAAGAGUCUUUUCUAAUACUUGUUAAAAUUGGAAGCAGUCAAGAUGUGCUUCAGUAAGUGAAUGAAUAAACAAACUAUGAUAAGUCCAUACAAUGAACUAUUACUCAGUGAUAGAAAGAAAUGAGUUAUGAAGCCAUUAAAAGACAUGUAGGAAGAUUAAAUACAUAUUACUAAGUGAAAUAAGUCAGUUUGAAAAGGGCACAGACUGUAUGAAUCCAACCGUAUGAAAUUCUGAGUCAGACCUAUAGAGACAGUAAAAAGAGCAGUAAUUGGCCAGGCUUCAGGGGAAGGGAGGGAUGAACAGGUGAAGCACAGGACAUUUUUAUGAUGGUGAAAUUAUAUCCUAUGAUACUAUAACAGUGGAUACAUAGCAUAAUACAUUUAUAUAAUGAAUUUGAGAAUUUCAGAGGCUUAUCAAGGAAAAAGAUAAGCCCACAGGUGGCAGUAGCACACAAAGCUUCUACUUGGACGCUACUUGGACAGGGUUGCAAAAAGAACAGUCCUCACAGCAUAAGGCCUUAUAGAAGCACAGGGGACCACCAUCCAGAACGCAGGAGGACAAAGGAGCUCCCAAGGAUGGGAAGGGAGAUGCUGCAUGUCUAGAUAACAUCACUUCACAGCAUGGUAGGAAGCUGCUGGGUCAGAGGGCUCUGAAGGGCAGCAGCCUGCAGUUUAUGUAACUACAAGAUUUUUCUUAUCUAUGGCCGGCAGAUGUUGGGUGCAGUUUCCCAAGGUGUACAAAGCAGGAAGACAUAAAAUGGCAAAAAAAAUCUGCCUGUUGGAGAUAUAUUUACAACAACUGGAUGCGAAAACAUUUCAGUUUGGCACUGUGGGCUUUUGAGCUAAUGAGUCUCAGCCUGAUUUAAGAAGUAAGCAACAAAGGGCCAAUAUGCAAAGGCCAUCUCUGGCUCAUUUAUAUAACAAUUUGUUAAAUCCUAGAGAAUGGUACAACACAGAGUGUCUAAUGUAAACUUGGACUUUUGUUAAUAAUAAUCUAUCAAUAUUGGUUCAUUAAUUUCAAUAAAUGUAUCACACAAAUGCAAGAGGUUAUCAAAAGGGGAAACUCUGUGGGAGGGGGGCAGGUAGGGAAGAGGGAGUGGGGCUAUGUGGGAACUUUAUAUACCUUCUGCACAAUUUUUCUGUGAACCUAAAACUUCUAUAGAAAAUAAAGUCUAUAAAAAUGUUAAAAGUCAAUGAGGAGAAAAAGGAGAGCGAAAUAAAUGGAAACUUGGGGGAAAUUUUGUAAUUCACAAAAUAAAAUCAAAAGUCAAAACCAAAUAAUUCUGCACAUCCAAAAUAUAACUAACAAGUCCAUUGAAUUAUAAACUGGUCAGAAACACAUGCAACAGUUAUAACAGAUCAAAAAGAGAUUUGUGCAAGUUUAAUGCAAAGGAAAUGUGGAGUAAGGCAUUAAGUAGGCAGUUUAGAGAAAAUGAAUACAAUUUUUUGAGAGGAAAGAAGGCCACCCUAACUCAAUAAACAAGUAAAAUAUUAUCACUGUGAGUUUCUAUUUUUCAUCUGUAAAUUUGGAAAAUACAAAAAACCCUGAAACCUGUAACACCCACCUGACAAACUCACAUAUGCUGUUGGUGGACAUGUACACUGGUAACUAUUUCAGAAUAUUUUUGAUAUCGUAAUAAAAACAGCACAUAGCCUUUGACAAAAUAGUUCUAUUCAUAGAAAUAUUUCCUACAUUCUUACUUACAGAUAUGCUCAAAACAUAUGUACAAGGGUGUUUGUGGCAGCUUUCGUUUUAUUAGCCAAAGACUGGACACUACCCAACUACACAUUGUUGUGGCAAUCCCUCAGAAUUUCCUGCUUCUGAAGAACUCACAAAUAGAGACAGAUGAAUGAGCCUAUAUGGCCAUGGAGAACAAAGGAACCACGACUGAUGAGGAACUGGUACUUAAAGUGUCUCCCAGAAAGAAACCCUCCAAAUAUGAUUCUGAAAUUGGUUUUCUUAUGUAUUCGAGGAGGGCACAGCUAAUGUAUGGAUGCAAUUUGCCAAUAUUUGAGGUACAAAGAUUAACUGCAAGUGAGGAGUAAGGUACAGAGAAGAAAACAAAAUGACUUGUUUGCUAUGGCAAAAAAUAGUAAUUGUAAAGACUGUGCAGUCCUCUACCUUCUUCAGACUACCCUGGAAGACGGACUUAAGGAAAAGGGGCAAUUUAAAGUUCUAAAUAGACAACUGAGAACAUGUUCGAAAAACCCAGAGGUCUCCAUUUCAGCUCUGAAGGAGUCCCUCAUCUUCUCCCUAGCCAAAAGACAUGCAGUAGAGGACUUUUAGUUUUCAGGAACCUAAUAGGUUAGAUGGGCACAUCUAUAAUUAAAGGGACACUCAUUCACCUUGAAGGGACAGAUACUCUGUUAUUGGAUCUGAUGUCCCUGCCAGCAGCACUUCUUAAUGCACAACUCAUAUACAUACAGAAUGCCCUUUCAUUCCAUGAUAUCCCAUACAACAGCAGUCCCCAACCUUUUUGAUACCAAGGACAGAUUUCAUGGAAAACAGUUUUUCCAUGGACUGGGGGAAGGGAGGAUUAGUUUGGUGAUGU